CAGUCGCCGCGGGAAUACGAAGGGUGCAAGCGUUACUCGGAAUUACUGGGCGUAAAGCGUGCGUAGGUGGUGGUUUAAGUCCGUUGUGAAAGCCCUGGGCUAACCUGGGAAUUGCAGUGGAUACUGGGUCACUAGAGUGUGGUAGAGGAUAGUGGAAUUUCCGGUGUAGCAGUGAAAUGCGUAGAGAUCGGAAGGAACAUCUGUGGCGAAGGCGACUAUCUGGGCCAACACUGACACUGAGGCACGAAAGCGUGGGGAGCAAACAGGAUUAGAUACCCCAGUAGUCCCUGUCUCUUAUACA
RNAcentral lists this ribosomal RNA (301 nucleotides) under uncultured bacterium. Its description in RNAcentral is "partial 16S ribosomal RNA". It matches the Rfam family "Bacterial small subunit ribosomal RNA", at positions 509 to 808 of the family's 1533-position model. The record is from RNAcentral.